CUCAUUAAAUCAGUUAUAGUUUAUUUGAUGGUCCCUUUGUUCUUCUUUUUUACCUACUUGGAUAACCGUGGUAAUUCUAGAGCUAAUACAUGCGCAAGGUCCCGAGCGCGGAGGGUAGGGCUUCACGGCUCUACUCUUGCAUGCGUAGAGGGAUGUAUUUAUUAGGUUAAAAACCAGCGGCAGGGGGUCAGCAAUGGCCCCUGCCAAACACUCCUGGUGAUUCAUAGUAACUCUUUCGGAUCGCAUUCAUG
This 251-nucleotide ribosomal RNA is filed under the name uncultured Acanthamoeba. Its description in RNAcentral is "partial 18S ribosomal RNA". It matches the Rfam family "Eukaryotic small subunit ribosomal RNA", at positions 97 to 279 of the family's 1831-position model. Lineage: Eukaryota; Discosea; Longamoebia; Acanthamoebidae. The record is from RNAcentral.